AGACUUAGUUACUUGUAGCAGAGUGAUAGUAUUGGCUUUGGGGAUUUUGUGUAUGUCAUUUUGUUUUGUAAGGGCAGGGUCUAACCUAAGCUGUAAAAAAAAAAAAAAAAAAAAGUUCACAGGAAACCAGUUAGGGAACUGUAAAUAGUUAAAGAAUAAAGUCUUAGUUAAGAGUAACACUAAAGCCAGGCAUGGUGGUGCACACCUGUAAUCCUAGUGGCUAGGGAGGUUGAAGCGAUGAUCUUGAGAAACUGAGGGGACCCUUGUUCUUGGAAAACCCACAGUGUUACUAGGCACAUAGUUACCCUGCUGAGUCAUUUAUCCGUGAAUAACUGGAAAGGCCUGAGGAGCCAGAUAUCUCUGACUGCAGUGCCAGAAGUUGGUUCUUUACUCAGCAAUGCAAGUUCCUAGAAAGACCAAAGAAUGCUUGAGGCCUAAGUUCUGACUGUAAUGACCUACAGCAACAACCAAUCAGCGUGAGACAGGGAAGAUAUCUGGAAUGCCAGGCAGCCCUCCUAGUAGUUUCGGUGAUUGAUAACAUGAUUAGGAAACUCUGCAGUUUAGUAUAUCCACUCUUGCAACCACUGGAGGCCUAAACCAAUCAGUUUAAACAUAUCCACCAUUUGAACUAAUCAAUCACCCUUACCUGACUUGUUCUUGCCAAUGAAUGUGCUAAUCAAUGUUAAGAGUUGUUGUUUGAUUUUCCUGCGGUGUGAAAUGAUUUGCUGUGUGAUAUUGUGACG
Molecule: long non-coding RNA, 743 nt
Filed under: Marmota monax (woodchuck)
Lineage: Eukaryota; Metazoa; Chordata; Mammalia; Rodentia; Sciuridae
Source: RNAcentral